RNAcentral lists this long non-coding RNA (2112 nucleotides) under Nicotiana tabacum (common tobacco). RNAcentral describes it as "long non-coding RNA (NTAB_LNC016345)". The record is from RNAcentral. Lineage: Eukaryota; Viridiplantae; Streptophyta; Magnoliopsida; Solanales; Solanaceae.
GGGAAAAGUCCUUGUCUCCUGCGUAUAUCAUUAAUCAAAAAUAAAUCACAAAUAAUUGCCAUUACAAUAUGAAUCUGGAUUUUUACAAUGGGGAUGAAAAUACCAGACAAAAGACCUAUGGACUUAUCGUCUCCUGAAUCAAACUUCAUCCAAGCAAUACCAAUAUUCCUUCCUAUCUUCAAUUUAUUUCAACAAGGAAAGACUAGCUAUAUUAACAUUUGAGAUAAGAAAUAAAAAAAACAACCAAAAACAUGACAGAAGAGACUGCAAUACCAAAGGUUUAGACUAAAGAAUCUUGACAUAAGAAAUAAUUAGAAACAAAGAUCGACAUAUACUACGAGUCAAGAAACAUUCAGGCGAUUAAAUGUGUUGGCAACGUCCAAACAAAAGUUUGCCUGUGUAAUUAGUUUUGGAACAUGGCUACUGUUUCAACAACCAAAGGAAACACUUCAAUUCAUUUUAACCAGAAAUUGCAGAACAUCUUAGAGGGAUCUAGCAGAACCAAUAAUGAGAGCAAUUUCAGAGGAGUUUCAGCACUCACCUCACGAAAUACCAACUGCCAAAUGAAAAUCACUGGACUACUCCUAAGUACUGCUAAUUCACAGAAGUCUUAGAGUGUUUUGUCAUAUGUCUAAUUUCAGGUCAUAAAGAAGAUUCACAUGGAUUAAGGCUUAACACAAAGACUUCAGCUAUUCAGAUGAAAACCAACAGUUUCAGUUGUUUAAACGAAAACGUAAUACAAAGGGUCAAAAACUUACUUCUUUAAACCAUGAAUUAACUAAGAUGAACCAAAAAUGAGGCUAAGAAAAAUUAGGACGAAGCUCAAACAGUCCAAACAGCAGAUUAAUGCGUUUCGAAUGCAUCAAGCUUUAGUAGAAAAGCAGAGAAGUCUUCUGCUAAGGAAGCCAACAGAAAGUUUAUUGCAUAAACAAAACCAAAUCACUGAUAAUUUUGCUGACAAGAGAUCAAUUAAAUUGCCCUUUAUUUAGUUCAGAAAAAAAACGAUAAAGCUAACUUCCAUGCAUUCGAAAACCUCGAAAGAUAACAGAAAGAGAAAUUGAACUUGCAACCUACCAACUGACAACGAAUUUGCAGGAGAUGAAUUAGUAGGUCAAAGGCAAAUAGAUCAACCAUUGCAGUGUACCUUAAUGAUAAACUAAGAAAUCUUAACAGAUCUGAGCCAAAGCCAAAGAGAGCUCAGAAACAGAGUAGAAUCACAGACAAUGGCUUUCAGGGUUCACACCAAACUAUGACGGGAUAUGAACACACACAAACAUUGAAUCACGAAUAAUAAAGAGUUGGAGAAGAAAUGAACCUGAGUUGAGAAAAACUUAGAUUAAUUCUUCUUUGAACCCAAUACAAGUGAAUUCGAUGAUGAAAGCUCAAGAACACAGCUGUUACAGUGUGUCAGGAUGAAAAAAUUACGAAUUCAAACUCGAACAACGAACUCAAUCCCGGCUCAAUCCAUCUCCAUUUUUUAGGGAAAUCAGAGAAAGAUAAUGAAAUUUCUUUUGGUUUUCAGACUUGUAAAAUAGAACUAAGACCAGAGCAAAAGAAAUUAAAAAAAUAUUUUAGACCUCCUUCUCCGGAAUUGAAUUGAGAACACGCAAAAAGAAACCAAGAAGAAAACUAAGGGAUUUUUUCAAAAAAAAACUUUUCUCUCCAAUUAUCAGACUCCCCAAAAAUCUUCUGAAAAAAAAAAAAAUCAAUCCCCCCUACAAGAAAAGGAUGUCACCUUAUAUAGACUUGCCCAAUUCUCGAAACUUCUAUUCCUCUUUCCAGAAAUUUUCCGUGCCAAGAAAUCCUCUCCCCAAAACUGAUUUUUAUCCCUUUUCUAAUCCAAAGGGGACAAAUGGAGGGAGUAGAUCAACUUGAAUCUGAUCUAACGCUCUCCAUUUUUCCUCGUUUCAUCUGAAGGGUGAAAGAAUCCGUAAAAAAUCGAAGAGAUCAUGUGAAGGAGAGGGAAUCUGUCAGAAACUGUUGUAAUAUGGUAGGAGGAGAGAGGGGAAACUCGAGGUGCGAGAUUUAUGCUCACUCGCCAAGGGUUUUGAGUGAUUUAGGGAGUGGAUUCGGGUGUUUUUGUUUUAGAAGAAGAACAACAUAUGUCUUUUG